GAUGAACGCUGGCGGCGUGCCUAAUACAUGCAAGUCGAGCGAACGGACGAGAAGCUUGCUUCUCUGAUGUUAGCGGCGGACGGGUGAGUAACACGUGGAUAACCUACCUAUAAGACUGGGAUAACUUCGGGAAACCGGAGCUAAUACCGGAUAAUAUUUUGAACCGCAUGGUUCAAAAGUGAAAGACGGUCUUGCUGUCACUUAUAGAUGGAUCCGCGCUGCAUUAGCUAGUUGGUAAGGUAACGGCUUACCAAGGCAACGAUGCAUAGCCGACGUGAUGGGGUGAUCGGCCGCACUGGAACUGAGACGCGGUCCAGACUCCUACGGGAGGCAGCAGUAGGGAAGCUUCCGCAUUGGGCGAAAGCCUGACGGAGCAACGCCGCGUGAGGGAUGAAGGUCUUCGGAUCGUAGAACUCUGUUAUUAGGGAAGAACAUAUGUGUAAGUUACUGUGCACAGCUUGACGGUACCUAAUCAGAAAGCCACGGCUAACUACGUG
RNAcentral lists this ribosomal RNA (497 nucleotides) under uncultured bacterium. Its description in RNAcentral is "partial 16S ribosomal RNA". It matches the Rfam family "Bacterial small subunit ribosomal RNA", at positions 28 to 507 of the family's 1533-position model. The record is from RNAcentral.